AUUGAACGCUGGCGGCAGGCCUAACACAUGCAAGUCGAGCGGAGCGGCGGACGGGUGAGUAAUGCCUAGGAAUCUGCCUGGUAGUGGGGGAUAACGUCCGGAAACGGGCGCUAAUACCGCAUACCAGCAGAUGAGCCUAGGUCGGAUUAGCUAGUUGGUGGGGUAAAGGCCUACCAAGGCGACGAUCCGUAACUGGUCUGAGAGGAUGAUCAGUCAAACUGGAACUGGGGCACGGUCCCGGCUCCGACGGCGGGCGGCAGUGGGGAAUAUUGCACAAUGGGCGAAAGCCUGAUGCAGCGACGCCGCGUGGGGGAUGAAGGCUUUCGGGUUGUAAACCUCUUUCGCUAUCGAACGGGUAGGUGGAGAAGAAGCGCCGGCUAACUACGUGCCAGCCGCCGCGGUAAUAC
Molecule: ribosomal RNA, 407 nt
Filed under: uncultured bacterium
Lineage: Bacteria
Description: partial 16S ribosomal RNA
Rfam family: Bacterial small subunit ribosomal RNA
Source: RNAcentral